This is a long non-coding RNA of Cervus elaphus (red deer), 845 nucleotides long. RefSeq lists it as uncharacterized. NCBI's taxonomy places the organism in Eukaryota, Metazoa, Chordata, Mammalia, Artiodactyla, Cervidae. The transcript is spliced from 3 exons. The record is from RefSeq and is a predicted model, not a curated record.
AGGAAAUCCAGUGCAGUGGAAGUGACAAGAAGCCCAGCAUGCUGGAAACUGGGGCAGCAAAAACAAACUCGGCAGAAAGCUCAUGUGGCUCAAUCUCAGAUUCCAGAAGACCUCCAGUUAAGAAACGUCGGACCAAUGGACAAAGCCCUGAGAGGGAUUGUCAGAAGAUCCUCUGACCAAUCUUGAGGAAAUCUGGUACACUGGUGGAAGCAGCUUUGUCUUGGAUGGGAAAAGAAGAGCCGGAUAUACAGUAGUCUCCAAUUUUGAGACCACAGAGGCUAAACCUUUGCCACCAGAUGAAGAAACUGAGGCUCCAAUGUGCAAGGUCUGCUGGGAAGUGAAAGAGGAAUUCAACCCAGGUCUGGCGCCUUAAUACCCUGGUCUGGAGAUGUUCAUGGGAGCCAUAUUUGUAAGAAGAAUGGAUCAAAAAUAGUAAACUGUGCAGCAAUUAAAAUGGGCAGACAUUUUAUCUUGGAGAUGAGAGAAUAAAUUGAUACAACCAUUCAUGAAAGCAAUUAACAAUAUGAAUAGAGUGCUUCUGUAAAGUUUAUACUCUUUGAACAACAAUUCAUUGACUAGGAUCUUAUCCUAAGGUAUUAAUCAGAAAUUUUGAAAUGGCUAUUUGAAGAAAUACUUACUGAGAUAGCAUCUAAAAAUUAUUUUUAACUGGAAAGACACGAAAGAUUUACAAUUAGAUAAUGAGUUUAAUAAAUCAAUGGUUCUUUAUGUGCCAUACUGUCACACAAGCAUUUUAAAUGGUGUUUUAAUAACAUAUGAAACUGUUGAUAGUAUUUUAAGUGAAAAAAAAGCAUGAUCAAAUUAUUGCAUGCACAUUGUGAUCCCAG